GCUUAGUCAGCUCAAGCAUGAAACCUGGUGAGCCGCGAUGCGCAAAAGGUUGGGAUGCCUGGCACAGGAUGCCAGCUAGUCGAUGUCUUUAGAAUGCCCCUGCUGUCUCUCCCGGGGCUAAAUCCUAUUCCACCGUGAGCCUUCCUUGACCAGCAGAGAAUAGAAGCGCCUGGUACAUACAGGCCACCAAAGGUAUCUGUUGAACAGACAUGCACACGGCUUCUGCCGUGGGCCAGGAGGGCCCACUCAGGAGCCUGGGUACUUUCCCUCCAUAGGCCAUGUAUUCCUGUGAACAGAUGAAUAGGGCAGAUGCUGCUUUUAUCCCUAUUUUACAGGUGAUAAAGCUGAGGCUCAGAGGGGCUUAGAGACUUGGCUAAGCUCAACAAGCUGCUGGGAAGUAGUAGAGCUGUGAUUCAAAUCCAGGCAUUCUGGCUCCAGGACCAUGCCCUUAGCUGCUGUCUCUUCAUGCGCCAACCUUUGUGAUGCUGUAUUUGUUUGUAGUAUAUGACUAUUGUGACCUCUGUGGGGGCACUUAGCACAAGGCCUGGUCCUUGGUAGGUGCUCAAUACAUAUUGUUUAAAUGAAUGAAUGAAAGCAAUUAUUGUUCCUUUAGAUGAUCAAAAUUUCCACUCCACCCUAAGUUCCCCUUUCAUGGAAUGAAGGGAUACGAGGCUAGGGAAAGUCAGCUUGGGACACUGAUGGAUUCUCAGAGGGCAGAGCUUGGCCUUCUUGGCCUGCCAGUGGGCAGAGAGACCCUCCCUACCCGAGGGGGCCAGGGAAGGCUUUGCUAUGGCAGCGACAUUGAGAUAGGGUUUUGAAGGAUGAGUGGGAGUUCACUGAAUCUCAGAAGUGCAGCCUGAUGGAAUCUGGGGUUGGAAGCAGCACAUGUAGUGAAGGGUCAGUCUCAUCUUCAAACGACCUCCCCAUCAUUUAGGCUGGAGGUACAAAGCAGGACUAUAGGAACAUAUACAGAUGGCUGUGAACCCGUGACAUGGCCAAAGGUUUCCUCUCAUCCCUUUUGCUGAAUCAUUUAGUGCUGUUCAAAGACAAGGCGGUUAAGCCUUGUUCCCUUCGAUGUCUCUCACUUGGAAUGGAUGCUUCUGGCUGCCAGCUGCUCUCCUCCUCUGUGGCUGGAAGCAUUUUGGGUUUCUGGGGGUCUUCUCUGAGACUGCAGUUAUCCUAGGCAUGAAGCAAACAUGAGCAUCACUGUCUGCUGACCUCUUAACUGUGGGCUGCAGAUGAGCAGAUGGGGCAGGGGCACAGGGAGCAGGGUGUGGCUCCAGAGAGGAGCUGGAGAUCUGGGUAGGGUGGGGACAGGUGGGUGGCCUGCGACACAGGCUAGCUGGCAAGCACCACAGUCCCAUGGCCACAGGAAGGACAUGUGAUGUCAGCUGGCACAAUCUGGGGACCAGAACCAGGAGACAGAUAUCAAUUCUGAACGGACUUCUUUCAACACCUGGAUCCACCUAGCCCCAGAGUCCUGCACUUCACAAUGACUCAAAAUCCUCCUGUGCUGUGAAGCCAAUUUAGGACGGGUUUCUGACUCUGGCUACAGGAGGUUCCAGGGCAGAGGAGAGUUGGCUUGGUUCAGGGACCAGAGUGAGGCCUGCAACCUCUCCCAUGGUUGUGCCCAGAGGAAGAAAGACCAUGCAGGCUCAGAAACACUCCCGGAUGUCCCUGGCUACUAUGCAGAGGAGGGGCAGAGCUGAGUAGUUUUAGAGACUAAGGUUGAAGAGAAAGCACACAUGCAUUCCCUUUAUGCAAAAACACAUGACAGAUUUGCACUGGGACCUGCAGGAACCACAGGCUCAGGCCCACAGACACAAGACAGAAGAGCACACACACACACACACACACACACACACACACACACACUUCAAAUGGUUUAAACUUGUGCUGCAAAAAAAGUACACGCCCUUUGACCUAAAAAUUCCGUUUCUGGGAAGCUAUUCUUAGGAGAGAACUAAGGAUGUGUACCAAGACUCAGAUGCAAGGAAUAUCCCUGCAGUGCUGUUUGUAAUAAUAAAAAGCUGGCAACAAUCUAGAUUCUAAUAAGGGGUGCUGAAGUCCGCUGUCGUUGGAGGGCACAGUGGCAUGCUAUUCAGCCCUCAAGAGGAAGUACGGAGCUGUUUACACAGAAGAUGAGUGUCAUUUAUUGUUGAGUGCAACAAAAAGCAGCUUGAAAAAUAAUCUGAAUGGUAUGAGCCCAUUUGGGUAAGAUAGAAGUCAGAAGCAGCUUGGAAGAGGGGCUGAAAAAUUUGCUCGGUUGCGGGGGUAAUCAUGGUUGUUUC
Molecule: long non-coding RNA, 2291 nt
Filed under: Homo sapiens (human)
Lineage: Eukaryota; Metazoa; Chordata; Mammalia; Primates; Hominidae
Description: HSALNT0060172
Source: RNAcentral